AUGGUACUACGGAAGCAUGAUGGAAGUAUUAUCUUCGCUGCUUAUCGCUACAUCUUCAAUUGCAAUGACGCACUCGAGGCGGAACUACAUGCGCUAAUGCACGGCAUGGCGAUAGCGAUCCAUCAUUGCGAGCUUCCCAUCAUCGUCCAGUCUGAUUCAUCGUUAGCUAUUUCCGCUUUAUCUGGUACUAGCUUAUCUAGAUCUGCCUAUGGGCAUCUUGUAAAUGAGAUUCGUCAUCUCAUGGUAGAUAGAGUUUUUAUUUCUAUGAAAAUUAGCCGCUUGCAAAAUAGGGUAGCAGAUCGUCUGGCCUCUUACAGUCGUACAGAGCGUACAACUGCUGUAUGGCUGGGUCGAGGACCACCGUGUGUGGAGGAACUUGUGCCUCUCGAUUGUAACCCUGUGACUAUGGAAUAA
RNAcentral lists this ribosomal RNA (414 nucleotides) under Triticum aestivum (bread wheat). RNAcentral describes it as "partial small subunit ribosomal RNA". Lineage: Eukaryota; Viridiplantae; Streptophyta; Magnoliopsida; Poales; Poaceae. The record is from RNAcentral.